RNAcentral lists this ribosomal RNA (460 nucleotides) under uncultured bacterium. Its description in RNAcentral is "partial 16S ribosomal RNA". It matches the Rfam family "Bacterial small subunit ribosomal RNA", at positions 338 to 795 of the family's 1533-position model. The record is from RNAcentral.
CCUACGUGGAGCAGCAGUGAGGAAUAUUGGUCAAUGGGCGCGAGCCUGAACCAGCCAAGUAGCGUGAAGGAUGACUGCCCUACGGGUUGUAAACUUCUUUUAUAAAGGAAUAAAGUGAGGCACGUGUGCCUUUUUGUAUGUACUUUAUGAAUAAGGAUCGGCUAACUCCGUGCCAGCAGCAGCGGUAAUACGGAGGAUCCGAGCGUUAUCCGGAUUUAUUGGGUUUAAAGGGAGCGUAGAUGGGUUGUUAAGUCAGUUGUGAAAGUUUGCGGCUCAACCGUAAAAUUGCAAUUGAUACUGGCAGUCUUGAGUACAGUUGAGGUAGGCGGAAUUCGUGGUGUAGCGGUGAAAUGCUUAGAUAUCACGAAGAACUCCGAUUGCGAAGGCAGCUUACUAAACUGCCACUGACAUUGAUGCUCGAAAGUGUGGGUAUCAAACAGGAUUAGAUACCCCUGUAGUC